CCUACGGGGGGCAGCAGUGAGGAAUAUUGGUCAAUGGGCGAGAGCCUGAACCAGCCAAGUCGCGUGAGGGAGUACUGCCCUAUGGGUUGUAAACCUCUUUUGUCGGGGAGCAAAAGCCGGACGUGUCCGGCUGUGAGAGUACCCGAAGAAAAAGCAUCGGCUAACUCCGUGCCAGCAGCCGCGGUAAUACGGAGGAUGCGAGCGUUAUCCGGAUUUAUUGGGUUUAAAGGGUGCGCAGGCGGAUUUUUAAGUCAGCGGUAAAAUCGUGGGGCUCAACCCCAUCCAGCCGUUGAAACUGGGGAUCUAGAGUGUGCGAGAGGUAUGCGGAAUGCGUGGUGUAGCGGUGAAAUGCAUAGAUAUCACGCAGAACCCCGAUUGCGAAGGCAGCAUACCGGUGCAAAACUGACGCUCAGGCACGAAAGCGUGGGUAUCGAACAGGAUUAGAUACCCUGGUAGUC
This 458-nucleotide ribosomal RNA is filed under the name uncultured bacterium. RNAcentral describes it as "partial 16S ribosomal RNA". It matches the Rfam family "Bacterial small subunit ribosomal RNA", at positions 338 to 795 of the family's 1533-position model. The record is from RNAcentral.